RNAcentral lists this ribosomal RNA (433 nucleotides) under uncultured bacterium. RNAcentral's name for it is "partial 16S ribosomal RNA". It matches the Rfam family "Bacterial small subunit ribosomal RNA", at positions 29 to 507 of the family's 1533-position model. The record is from RNAcentral.
AACGAACGCUGGCGGCAUGCCUAACACAUGCAAGUCGAACGAGACCUUCGGGUCUAGUUGCGCACGGGUGCGUAACGCGAGGGAACCUGCCCUUAGGUUCGGAAUAACUCCCCGAAAGGGGUGCUAAUACCGGAUAAUGUCUUCGGACCAAAGAUUUAUCGCCUUUGGAUGGGCCCGCGUUGGAUUAGCUAGUUGGUAAGGUAAAAGCCUACCAAGGCGACGAUCCAUAGCUGGUCUGAGAGGAUGAUCAGCCACACUGGGACUGAGACACGGCCCAGACUCCUACGGGAGGCAGCAGUGGGGAAUAUUGGACAAUGGGCGAAAGACUGAUCCAGCAAUGCCGCGUGAGUGAUGAAGGCCUUAGGGUUGUAAAGCUCUUUUACCCGGGAUGAUAAUGACAGUACCGGGAGAAUAAGCUCCGGCUAACUCCGUG